Molecule: ribosomal RNA, 1134 nt
Filed under: Triticum aestivum (bread wheat)
Lineage: Eukaryota; Viridiplantae; Streptophyta; Magnoliopsida; Poales; Poaceae
Description: partial small subunit ribosomal RNA
Source: RNAcentral
AUGGUCACCAUGACGGCGACCAAGAAGCAGCCCUGCCGUGGCGCCGCCUCGCUCUCCUCGGCGUCCUCCUGGCCCUGGGGCUCCCGCAUUGCGCCGUCCAUUGCGCGGACGCACGGGAGGAAGAAGAAGAAGAGUGGCCGGGGAGGGAGCGGGAGCGGCGACGCCGUGGUUGUCCCGGCGAGGAGGUCGUCCGUCUACAAGGGCGUGACCAGGCACAGCAUCUCAGGGAGGUACGAGGCGCACCUGUGGGACAGGCAUUGCCGGAGCACGGCCCAGGGCAGGAGAGGCAAACAGGGAUGUUACAAGACUGAGGAGGAAGCAGCUCGCACCCAUGAUCUCGCGGCGCUCAAGUGCUGGGGCUCAGACUGCGGCCUUCUCAACUUCCCAGUGGACACGUACAGGCAGGAGCGCGAGAGGAUGCAGCGGAUGACACGGGAGGAGUACCUGGCGAGGCUGAGGCGCAACAGCAGUGGCUUCACAAGAGGCGUCUCCAAGUACAGGGGAGUUACAAGGCAUCACGCGAACGGCCGGUGGGAGGCGAGGAUCGGUUACGCUGCCGGCACGCAGUACUCCUACUUGGGAAUUUUCGAAACCCAGGAGGAGGCGGCCAGGGCCUACGACCUCGCCGCGAUACGAAUCCGCGGCCCCGGCGCCGUCACCAACUUCGACGCCGACUGCUACGUGGACAUCCCGCAGCCGCUCCCCUGCAAGGCCGAGCCGGACCCGGAGCCGGCCGCGGCUCGUCCAGGCCCGCCGGCGCCACUGCCGCCCAAGGUCGAGCCCAAGGAGGAGCCGGAGAACGACUUCGAGUUCGAGCGCGAGCCGCCGCCCGCCCCGGCGCUCCGCGAGGACGCCGACCGCGUGGACCGCGCCAUCGCCGAGGUCCUGCAGGCGCUCUGCGUGGACCGCGCCGACUUCGAGGCCAGGUACCCGCCCCGCCGCGCGCGCGUCGCCGCCGCGGGCGCAGGGUGGCCAACGCCGUCGGCCUGGGACGAGUUGCCCGACCUGCCGGUGCCGGGCGACGCGGGCUUCUUCGAGGACGACAUCGAGAGCGUGCUCUUCGACGCGCCCGGCGACGCCGAACUGCCGCGCGCCGCCGUGAUCAGCUCGCUGGCGUCUGGCCGCUGGUGGUGA